GGAAGAAAAUUACAUACUUAGCACCAUCAGCAGGGGAGCUGCCAAGCAAAUUCUUGAUUGUGGGAACUCUGACAUGGCUUGAAACAUGAGAAUAAGCAUUAAUGGGGUUCUUAACUGUCAGGUAAAAUCUGCGAGAGCCUAGUGAUGUAUUUGUGAUCUUGUGUCAGUUAUCAAAUUUAAACCAUUGUACAAAGAUUCAAUUUAUUUAGCCCAUCAUAGCAUCAAAACCCAGGCUUUCGGAUCUGUAUGGAGUAAUUUCUGAAAUUUUUGAAAAAAAGAACUAUUUGCACACUAAUAAAAAAUAGAUGCUUUGGUAUUUGCUUUUUUUUUUUUAGUGUAAAACAGUUAGUUUUCGGUCUCGCGUGUUUUCUGUUUCCUUUUCAUGGCAUUGGUUUAUUCUCUUGUUAUGUGGUUCAUUUGGUUUUGUUGUUUUCUUUGUUAUAGUUUUUAACAGGAUUUAACCCUGAAAUACUUUCAACUUCGAAAAUAUUUAGUUUAUUUUUCCGGGUUGGUCAGACUUAAAAUUGGAAAACGUUUUUAAGUUAUGUUUCAAAAUUGAAUGAUUAGUUAAGUGAUAAAAAAGACUAUUAGUUGCUCUUUUUAUUGUUUAUUUUUCAUUGUCUUAGUGCACUGUUAUUUGAGGAAUACUUAAAAAUAAAUUAAGAAAGUUUAUCAACUUAAAAAAAUCAAAUUUGUUUACUAUUGAAGAGACCUAGAGACUGGAAGAGAUGAAAGAGAAGAAUUCCAUGUUCUUGGAAGGCAGAAGGGGUUUUGAUUUUCUUUUUAUUUUAUUUUAUUUUGAGGGUUGGACUGGAACUUUGCAUUUUGAAGAGAAGUUUAAUCGUGAAAAAAACAUAUUAUGACUGAAAAUUAUAUGCUUAAAGGAACUUUUUUUGGAUUAAAAAUCACUUAAAACAUUUAAUCAUUAAAAAUUAAAAACCAAUUUAAAUAUCUUUUACCUAGGAAUGUAAUAGUGAUCCCAAUCUGCAUAACAUGAAUCAUCGGGAUCACAUCUAUUAUGGUUUCUUUCAAAUAAAAAUAUCGGAGUACAAGUUCAGGUCAGCAUGAUAAUAUACUGGCGGGAUAGGACGGGUUUGAAUAUAGAGGUGAAAAAUUCGUCUAAAUUUAACUCGAUACAUUAAAUAUUGUAAAUUUAAAUUAAAAAUAUAAAAUAUAAAUACUUUGAAGUUAAAAAUCAUAACCUUAAUUUUUUUAGUUUCACUCAUUCUUCAAGACUCAAAAUGCACCAGAGUCAUCCUCAUCUGCUUCCUCUUCUUCAACAACCACCACUACUAUCAUUUCCACCUUUGACAGUCGCCACCAUCAUCAAUGCCAGGAGUGUAGUGGUCCAACGGAAAAGAAGCUUGGAUGCUGAAGUUUUUGCUGCACUGAUCUCUCUUGGAGUUUCUUUGGGCAAAGGAAAAGAUAGGAUUUCCUCAUGUUUGUUCCUUUUUUUUCUAUACAUAUAUACACACGUGUGUGUGUGUGUGUGUGUGUAUCUUAUUUGUUAAAAAAACACCCAAAAAAUUAUACAUUCUCUCCCUCUCUCAGUUGGUUCAAGAUUAUGGCUUUCUUUUUCUAGUGUUAAAAAAGUUGAACAAAACAUGAAAAUUGAGGGAGAGAAGGUUGGAUAUGACUACUAGUUUGGAUUUCUUAAGUUGUAUAUUUGGGUUAGAUAUAAAAUUCGUGGGAACCCAAUUUGUUGCAAUCCCCACCUUUAUAUCUUCUACGCCAACUACUUAGCAAUUAAUUAAUUUGCAUUUGCUAUCUUGUUUGAUUUUUGCUCAUACAACAAUAAAACAAGAAACCUGA
Molecule: long non-coding RNA, 1812 nt
Filed under: Carica papaya (papaya)
Lineage: Eukaryota; Viridiplantae; Streptophyta; Magnoliopsida; Brassicales; Caricaceae
Description: long non-coding RNA (CPAP_LNC011627)
Source: RNAcentral